This is a long non-coding RNA of Morus notabilis, 927 nucleotides long. RefSeq lists it as uncharacterized. The transcript has 3 exons. The record is from RefSeq and is a predicted model, not a curated record. NCBI's taxonomy places the organism in Eukaryota, Viridiplantae, Streptophyta, Magnoliopsida, Rosales, Moraceae.
UAGGUGUUAUUUUCGCACCGAUCAAAUGGCCGUCGUCACCCAAAGGAAAAAAACCCCACUAGAAGCAACAAUCGAAGCCCUCUUCGGAGCGAGGAAGAAUAUUUCUUCCUCUGCGCGUUUAAUCCCCAAAAUUUUCUUCCGCUGAGGGUAGAGAACAAGCCCCACUCGAAUGGCCCUCAUCACCCAAAGGAAAAAAUCCCACUAGAAGCAACAUUCGAAGCCCACUUUUUCACUCGAAGCCCUCUUUUUUCACUCGACGCCCUGAGAAGAAUUCUUCCCUCAUUGCGCAACAGUCCCGAAUUCGAACUUUAAGGUUUAGAUUUUUAGAAGAAUUCCUUUCUCUGUACAAGAAGCAUAGGUUUCUUCUGGUGAAAUUAGCCCGAUACAGAUUUGUGUACAUUUGCUACAAUCCUCAAUCAAAUCAAGAAGAGGUAUGGAAUAGCUAUUACUACACCAACUUGCAAGAGAGAAUUAGGGGCGCAACUAAUUGACAGCUAAGACGUACCGACUAUCACCGGUGGCUGUGACACUGUUCAGUGGCAAUGAUGCAAUUAAGGUGGUAUAAUUGUGGUGAAGGAGACAUUUUAUGAGCAAAAAAGGAUUUUAAAGAUCCCAAAAAAUGGUUGAUUUCUAGUGCCUCAACGACAAGAUAACAUCAAGGGAUUGCAGGGAAACAUUUUAGCAUCUACAAAGUAAUACGUCAAUGAACAGUGCUGUAGACCGGGUUUUUUUUAGUUAUGAAAAAUUACACAUUUAACCACCAAAUUAUAGGCUGUCACAAAAUGGCCCCCAAACUUAAUUUUGUAAUAUAUGUUCACCACGAAUUUGUGAAUUAUUGCAAAUUCUCCCCUAUGUUAAGUUUUCAGCAUAAAAUAACAUGUGGCGUGCUUUUUUGGGAGGAGUUUAGUAUUGAAUGUGCAAUUACAA